This 400-nucleotide ribosomal RNA is filed under the name uncultured bacterium. Its description in RNAcentral is "bacterial SSU rRNA". It matches the Rfam family "Bacterial small subunit ribosomal RNA", at positions 359 to 775 of the family's 1533-position model. The record is from RNAcentral.
GAAUAUUGCGCAAUGGGCGAAAGCCUGACGCAGCAACGCCGCGUGAGGGAUGAAGGCUUUCGGGUUGUAAACCUCUUUCAGCAGGGACGAUUGUGACGGUACCUGCAGAAGAAGCCCCGGCCAACUACGUGCCAGCAGCCGCGGUAACACGUAGGGGGCGAGCGUUGUCCGGAUUUAUUGGGCGUAAAGAGCUCGUAGGUGGUUCGGUAAGUCGGGUGUGAAAACUCUGGGCUCAACUCAGAGACGCCACCUGAUACUGCCGUGACUGGAGUCUGGUAGGGGAGUGUGGAAUUCCCGGUGUAGCGGUGAAAUGCGCAGAUAUCGGGAGGAACACCAGUGGCGAAGGCGGCACUCUGGGCCAGUACUGACACUGAGGAGCGAAAGCGUGGGUAGCGAACAG